GUGCUUGCUUUGGCAGCACAUAUACUAAAAUUGGAAUGAUACAGAGAAGAUUAGCAUGGCCCUUGUGCAAAGAUGACACACAAAUUUGUGAAGCAUUUCAUAUUUUU
Molecule: small nuclear RNA, 107 nt
Organism: Ursus maritimus (polar bear)
Lineage: Eukaryota; Metazoa; Chordata; Mammalia; Carnivora; Ursidae
Source: Ensembl